This 1519-nucleotide long non-coding RNA is filed under the name Sarcophilus harrisii (Tasmanian devil). RNAcentral describes it as "lncRNA (ENSSHAG00000031164.1)". Lineage: Eukaryota; Metazoa; Chordata; Mammalia; Dasyuromorphia; Dasyuridae. The record is from RNAcentral.
CUGGGCCUUUAAAUAAAGAAACUUCAUAGCCCUGGGUGAGGGGGAUAAUCAUCCUCAGCUGCUGCAUCUGGCCCACGGGCAGUAGUUUGAGGACUCCUGGGAGGUUUGAACUUUCCUUGGAAGGGAAACUGAGUUAGGUUGCUAGAACAAAGCAUACCACCACUAGCCAAAUUCUCUAUUUAUAUGUCAUAUUAUUAUUAUAUCGUCAUAUUUAUAUAUAACAUAAGAGUCAUAAUGGAGAUGUCUUCUCCUCCCUUUCCUCUUCCUCCUCCUCCUCCUCUCCCUCUCCUCUCUCCAAAUUCCUUUCACGGAGUCAUAUCUGAAGGAGAACUAGGUCCUAUACGAAGCUUUGCUGCCCAUUCCCGGCCGACAGUUUCUGUCCUCCACUGGCCGGGAUGCUGCCCGCUGUCUGAAUUGGAGCAGGUAAUCAGUUGUUUCUGGGAAAGACUGCGGCAAUCUGGAGUAGAAGAAAGUGCGAUGGCUUCGGAAACUCAGUCAAGUCCAGCCUAUAAUCUCCAGCUGUCAAGAAGAGUAAUGCAGUACAGUACACAGUGCCCGUUCUUUGGUAGUAAAGGAAAUGAAGCUACUGGUCCCACUGAGAUGAGCUUGCCCGAGCCAGUUCUGGAGGUGUGAAUCCUCUGCUCCGGUGGGAACCCUAUUUCUCCAGCCUUCUGACAAAGGAUCAUCACACAGAUAACUUUCAAUAUUCAGAGAAAUGCUUUGGUGAACAUUCAAAAACAACAUCACUUCCACAUUGAAAGAAGCAACUGAAAAUAUAAUGGGAAGACUACUGAUUGUCGGAAGUGAGGGUGAUAGAAGACUGGUUAUGGUCGAGCUACUUACUAGUUAUGUGACUGAAGCAAUCUCUUCUUUUCUCUGACUGCCAUUUUCCUCAUCUCUACAUUGACAGUACUACAGAAAGUAUUAUCAACUUCCUCUACUUAAGUUCUGCUUCUAAACUUAUCUCAUUUGUCAUGAAGGACAUCAGCUUGAAUUCUCAGGACUAACUGUCAGGUUUCAUCAAGGUAGAAGGACUUUGGACCUGAUGAUUAACUGCAUGUCUUAAUGUCAAGACCAAGUCACUAAACUGGAAGAGCUUCAUCAUCCAGUUGACCACAUGGAACAAAUACUUUGGUCACAAAAACUCCCUUUUCUUUUUAAAAAUUUUAUUUACUUAUUCUGUAACAUUUUAGUGAUUUUUUUGCUUAUAUACAUCCAUCUUUUCCCAAUACAACCAGAAACCCAUCUUUUAUAACAAAUGACAUUUUUUUUUAAAGAGAGAGGGAACAAAAAACGGUAAUUUUAGCAAAAUUAGCCAAAUCUCCUGGUACAUGUGAUUUUCCACAUCAACUCUUCUAUCUCUGCAAAAAAAGAGGAGAAUUUCUCAUUCCUUCUUCAAGUCAUGAUAAUUUUAUAGCAUUUCACUUUUAGUUUUGUUGUUGUUGUUCCUAUUAACAUUGUCAUAAUUGUUCAUGAUAUUUUCCUGAUUCUGCCUAUUUUAUGUUGCCUCAGUUCAUAC